RNAcentral lists this microRNA precursor (158 nucleotides) under Oryza brachyantha (malo sina). Its description in RNAcentral is "MIR812 microRNA precursor family". It matches the Rfam family "MIR812 microRNA precursor family", at positions 27 to 191 of the family's 205-position model. The record is from Rfam by way of RNAcentral. Lineage: Eukaryota; Viridiplantae; Streptophyta; Magnoliopsida; Poales; Poaceae.
UAUAAUUUUUGACUUUUUCGUCUUAUUCAAAAAAAUUUUACGAUUGAUAUUUUUGUUUUUAUUAGAUAAUAAAUCAUGAAUAGUACUUUACGUGUGACUAAUUUUUUUUCUAAUUUUUUAAAUAAGACGGAUGGUCAAAUGUUGAACACGGAAACCGA